Molecule: ribosomal RNA, 253 nt
Filed under: uncultured bacterium
Lineage: Bacteria
Description: partial 16S ribosomal RNA
Rfam family: Bacterial small subunit ribosomal RNA
Source: RNAcentral
UACGUAGGGACCGAGCGUUGUCCGGAUUCAUUGGGCGUAAAGAGCUCGUAGGCGGCCACUCAAGUCGAAUGUGAAACCUCGAGGCUUAACCUCGAGCCUGCAUUUGAUACUGGGCGGCUAGAGUCUGGUAGGGGGAUCUGGAAUUCCUGGUGUAGCGGUGGAAUGCGCAGAUAUCAGGAGGAACACCAAUAGCGAAGGCAGCUCGCUGGGACGUUACUGACACUGAGGCGCGAAAGCGUGGGGAGCGAACAGG